CCCUUAGAUGUUCUGGGCCGCACACGCGCUACACUGAAGGAGGCAGCGUGUACUCCUGGAUCGAAAGAUUUGGGUAACCCGCGAAUCUCCUUCGUGCUAGGGAUUGAGGUUUGCAAUUAUCCUUCAUGAACGAGGAAUUCCCAGUAAGCGCAAGUCAUAAGCUUGCGCUGACUACGUCCCUGCCCUUUGUACACACCGCCCGUCGCUACUACCGAUUGAAUGAUUUAGUGAGGACUUCGGACUGGGACCAAUGCGGCUUUCGGGCUGCGUCGGUAUUCUGGAAAGAUGUCCAAACUGUAUCAUUUAGAGGAAGUAAAAGUCGUAACA
Molecule: ribosomal RNA, 327 nt
Filed under: uncultured eukaryote
Lineage: Eukaryota
Description: partial 18S ribosomal RNA
Rfam family: Eukaryotic small subunit ribosomal RNA
Source: RNAcentral